AUGGCCAUCUUAAAGAUUAUUGCAGAGGGAUUUGAGGAUAAAUAUCUUGGCCUUCCAGUUCCUCAAGGAAGAAUGAAAGCUGGUAGAUUCCAGUCUACUAAGGAAAGGGUGUUGAAACGACUUUCUGACUGGAUUGAUAAAUAUGCUUCAAGCGGGGUGAAAGAAGAUCUUAUCAAGUCAGUAAUUCAGACUCUUUCAGUGGUGGUUGAUGGAGGGAAUAUCAAUAGUUGGAGGGACAAUUCGCUUCCAAGGAUUUCUGGCCUCAAAAUUUCUAGCAAGAAGAACAUAUCAAGACUAAAAUUGGUUUCAGAUUUAUUCAAGAGCGAGUCUAGGGAUUGGGAUGAAAAUAUCAUUAGACAUCUUUUUUAUCCUCAUGACGCGGAAGAGAUCUUGAAGUUGCGGAUUCAAUCCUCAGGGGAUGGUGAUUUCAUUCAUUGGCAUUUUGAAAAGAAUGGACUAUUCUUAAUGAAGAGUGCGUACAAUCUGGCGUUAAAGCUUAAGGAUCAGAAAGAGAAUGUUGGGCAAUCAAGUACUGCUAUUAACGGAGAAAGGAGGUUGUGGGAUAUCAUUUGGAAGGCCAACAUCCUACAAAAGAUUAGAAUUUUCCGAUGGCGUGCAACAUCUGAUAGCCUGGUGGUUCAGGUAGUCACCAAUUACAAAGGAAAGGAGGCGGUGGCUGGUUUUGAUGCAAGUAAUACUAUUGUGAGAUCCAAAGAGGUGUGGCAGCCGCCUCCUUCUGGCCACAUCAAGAUCAAUGUUGAUGCAAGCUUUGUGGAGAGUUUAAGUGCCACGAGCGUUGGGGUGGUGGCCAGGAGUUGUACCGGUGAUAUCAUUGUCUCAUCUUGCGACUUCAUUGGGUUAUGCUCUGGUGUGGAUGAAGCGGAGCUUUGA
RNAcentral lists this ribosomal RNA (891 nucleotides) under Triticum aestivum (bread wheat). RNAcentral's name for it is "partial small subunit ribosomal RNA". The record is from RNAcentral. Lineage: Eukaryota; Viridiplantae; Streptophyta; Magnoliopsida; Poales; Poaceae.